Molecule: long non-coding RNA, 1237 nt
Filed under: Callithrix jacchus (white-tufted-ear marmoset)
Lineage: Eukaryota; Metazoa; Chordata; Mammalia; Primates; Cebidae
Description: lncRNA (ENSCJAG00000081940.1)
Source: RNAcentral
UGUGUUUGGCUGCUGAUAGGGCACUGGGAUCUGUGUAAUUUCCCAUGGAGCAACCCACUGCACCAGCUCAAACGUCUCUUCCUGGGAAUCUCCUGGUCUGGCUCACUGUCCAAGUCCCAUUAUUGCACUGAUUUUCUUAUGAGUAAAAUUGUUACAUUCAAACUCAUGCACAGAGUAUUUUACUGAAUGACAUUCUGCAGUAAGACCUGUCAUGAAUAUUGCUGAGAGACACAGAGUAUAAUUCCUACCUUAAACUUAAAUUAUAAAACUCUCAAGGAUGUUCUCAAAUAACAUUGGAUAAAUCUAUGCUAUGUCAUUGGAAGACAAAUACUUCUAAAGUAUAUUACACUGUUGUCACCAUUAUUUUUUUUAUUUGUGAGUAUGUAUAAGGGUUGCUUUAAAACCAAUUUCAAAAUAAAUGAAAAUUGAUACAAAGAAUCCUAAUCAUGAAAUUACUUUUACCUUAAACGUUUCCACAGUUUUUUUUCCUCUCUUUUUUUUUUUCAAGUUGGCUGACUAGGGAUGUUGGAUGCCAGCUCUCCUCAGAAAGAUCAAAGUUACAGGUGAAUGGUCAUGAUUUAAAUGGAAAUCUGAGGAAAUGGAGCAAGGUCCUGUUGGAGCACUCAUGAGAGGAUCCAGGAGCACAAAAGAGGAAAGCAACAAGAGACUGGCAGAGAUUGAUUCUCUAGAAACUUGGACCAUGAAAAGGGGUUGGACUGCGCAAUCUAUGCUGAAGCUGGUUGGCUAACUUGAAAUGUGUGGGAAUGCGAUGACACCAGUGGGAGAGCAGUGGGAAGGAGAGAAGACCAUGCUAAAUAUUACUCUUGGAAAAGUACAUGUGCUGCAGAGAAAUCUUUAUUCAUAGGCCUAUAACAGGAAGGAGCAACAGCAUCUUCUGUGUGCCAAAGUAGCACAAUAAUGAACGCUGUUCAAGUGGAUCAAAAGUCAUCAAGUUCAAAAUUAGGCACGGGUAAGGCAAGACUUUUCUGGUAGAAAUGUUAUCAGUCCAUUCUAUUCUGGUAGAAAUGUUAUCAGUACAUUGCUAUAAAUGCCUGACACUGGGUAAUAUAUAAAGUAAUUUAAUUGGCUCAUGGUUCCACAGGCUGUACAGGAAGCAUGAUUCUGAUAUCUGCUUGGUUUCUGGGAAGGCCUCAGGAAAGUUAGGUCCUGGAAGAAGAAGGGGGAGCAGGCGUGUGUUACAUGACGAGAGCAGGAAGAAGAGCGAGAAGUAGGGAGG